This is a ribosomal RNA of Dicentrarchus labrax (European seabass), 119 nucleotides long. The record is from Ensembl. Lineage: Eukaryota; Metazoa; Chordata; Actinopteri; Moronidae.
GCUUACGGCCAUACCACCCUGAACGCGCCCGAUCUCGUCCGAUCUCGGAAGCUAAGCAGGGUCGGGCCUGGUUAGUACUUGGAUGGGAGACCGCCUGGGAAUACCAGGUGCUGUAAGCC